GGAUGUGAGGGCGAUCUGGCUGCGACAUCUGUCAACCCAUUGAUCGCCAGGGUUGAUUCCGCUGAUAUGGCUGGCUAGGCGGGUGUCCCCUUCCUCCCUCACCGCUCCUUGUGCGUCCCUUCAGAAGCUGCGCGGCCUUCCCCGAAUAGAGACUGAACGGUCAUCGGUCCAGGGUAUACGAGUAGCUGCAUUCCCCUGCUAGAACCUUCAGACAAGCUCUCAAGAAUAUUGGGGUGUAUUUCACAAAGCAAGAGACUAAGGUGAU
Erinaceus europaeus (western European hedgehog) is the source of this 265-nucleotide unclassified non-coding RNA. Its record names the gene 7SK. It matches the Rfam family "7SK RNA". Rfam says of the family: 7SK was discovered as an abundant small nuclear RNA in the mid-70s but a possible function has only recently been suggested. Two independent studies have found that 7SK RNA binds the CDK9/cyclin T complex (known as elongation factor P-TEFb). The record is from Ensembl. NCBI's taxonomy places the organism in Eukaryota, Metazoa, Chordata, Mammalia, Eulipotyphla, Erinaceidae.